This 253-nucleotide ribosomal RNA is filed under the name uncultured bacterium. RNAcentral's name for it is "partial 16S ribosomal RNA". It matches the Rfam family "Bacterial small subunit ribosomal RNA", at positions 524 to 776 of the family's 1533-position model. The record is from RNAcentral.
UACGUAGGGUGCGAGCGUUGUCCGGCAUUAUUGGGCGUAAAGAGCUCGUAGGCGGUUUGUCGCGUCGGCCGUGAAAUCUCCACGCUUAACGUGGAGCGUGCGGUCGAUACGGGCAGACUUGAGUUCGGUAGGGGAGACUGGAAUUCCUGGUGUAGCGGUGAAAUGCGCAGAUAUCAGGAGGAACACCGGUGGCGAAGGCGGGUCUCUGGGCCGAUACUGACGCUGAGGAGCGAAAGCGUGGGGAGCGAACAGG